GGGCGAUUAGCUCAGUGGGAGAGCGCUUCCUUCACACGGAAGAGGUCGCAGGUUCAAUCCCUGCAUCGCCCA
RNAcentral lists this transfer RNA (72 nucleotides) under Thermodesulfovibrio sp. N1. Its description in RNAcentral is "tRNA-Val". It matches the Rfam family "tRNA". Rfam says of the family: Transfer RNA (tRNA) molecules are approximately 80 nucleotides in length. Lineage: Bacteria; Pseudomonadati; Nitrospirota; Thermodesulfovibrionia; Thermodesulfovibrionales; Thermodesulfovibrionaceae. The record is from RNAcentral. RNAcentral also lists the same sequence under 3 other names.